AGGGAAAGUUGCAAAGAACUUUGAAGAGAGAGUUCAAGAGUACGUGAAACUGCUCGGAAGGAAACGGGUGGAUCUUCGAAGUCCGAGCGGAGCGGGAUUCAGUGGCGGGCCGCGAGGGGUGUCCGAGCCUCGUAUUCCUCUCGGGGAAACGAGUGACGGGCACCGUUCUCCGGCCAGUCGCGCACUUCUCGCUCCCGACGGACGCCGCAGCCGGUCACGCGUCGGCAGUGAGGACUGACCGGGCGAAGGCGUGGGCGUCGACCUCGCGUCGGCGUCCCGAUUCUGUACCGGUCGCCGUCCCGGUGCGACGCGGGUCCGAGGGAAGAGCACGUCUCGCACGUGCGUGCCGUGGUCUCGCCAGAAAUGGAAGGAGCGGGAGAGCGGUCCGGUUCUACCGGGUCGGCCGGCCAGCUGUGGGGUGGUCGGUCGGCGAGUGGGGUUCCGGAAGAUCGCGACCCACCCGCUGAUUAGCGAACCGUCGGCUUGCGGCGAGUAGGUCGGUAACCCACCCGACCCGUCUUGAAACACGGACCAAGGAGUCUGACUUGUGCGCGAGUCAGUGGGACUCGAAUAAGCCCACGGGCGUAAUGAAAGUGAAUGGACGUUCUAGUUCGUCGUGAUCCCGCAUCUUCGGAUCGGGCGCAGCGACGGUCCGCCCGCAGUCCGGUUCGUCCGGACGCGGUCGGUGCUGGAGCGCACAGGUUGGGACCCGAAAGAUGGUGAACUAUGCCCGGGCAGGUCGAAGCUAGAGGAAACUCUGGUGGAGGACCGCAGCGGUUCUGACGUGCAAAUCGAUCGUCGAACCUA
Molecule: ribosomal RNA, 807 nt
Filed under: Panjange iban
Lineage: Eukaryota; Metazoa; Arthropoda; Arachnida; Araneae; Pholcidae
Description: partial 28S ribosomal RNA
Rfam family: Eukaryotic large subunit ribosomal RNA
Source: RNAcentral